Molecule: ribosomal RNA, 497 nt
Filed under: uncultured bacterium
Lineage: Bacteria
Description: partial 16S ribosomal RNA
Rfam family: Bacterial small subunit ribosomal RNA
Source: RNAcentral
GAUGAACGCUGGCGGCGUGCCUAAUACAUGCAAGUCGAGCGAACGGACGAGAAGCUUGCUUCUCUGAUGUUAGCGGCGGACGGGUGAGUAACACGUGGAUAACCUACCUAUAAGACUGGGAUAACUUCGGGAAACCGGAGCUAAUACCGGAUAAUAUUUUGAACCGCAUGGUUCAAAAGUGAAAGACGGUCUUGCUGUUACUUAUAGCUGGAUCCGCGCUGCAUUAGCUAGUUGGUAAGGUAACGGCUUACCAAGGCAACGAUGCAUAGCCGACCUGAGAGGGUGAUCGGCCACACUGGAACUGAGACACGGUCCAGACUCCUACGGGAGGCAGCAGUAGGGAAUCUUCCGCAAUGGGCGAAAGCCUGACGGAGCAACGCCGCGUGAGUGAUGAAGGUCUUCGGAUCGUAAAACUCUGUUAUUAGGGAAGAACAUAUGUGUAAGUAACUGUGCACAUCUUGACGGUACCUAAUCAGAAAGCCACGGCUAACUACGUG